RNAcentral lists this ribosomal RNA (373 nucleotides) under uncultured organism. RNAcentral's name for it is "bacterial SSU rRNA". It matches the Rfam family "Bacterial small subunit ribosomal RNA", at positions 526 to 897 of the family's 1533-position model. The record is from RNAcentral.
CGUAGGGGGCUAGCGUUGUCCGGAUUUAUUGGGCGUAAAGAGCGCGUAGGCGGCCGAGUAAGUCCGACGUGAAAUCUGGAGGCUCAACCUCCAGCGGUCGUUGGAAACUACUCGGCCAGAGUCCGGAAGAGGAGAGUGGAAUUCCUGGUGUAGCGGUGAAAUGCGCAGAUAUCAGGAAGAACACCGAUGGCGAAAGCAGCUCUCUGGGACGGUACUGACGCUGAGGCGCGAAAGCGUGGGGAGCGAACAGGAUUAGAUACCCUGGUAGUCCACGCCGUAAACGAUGGGUGCUAGGUGUGGGCGGUGUCGACUCCGCCCGUGCCGAAGCUAACGCAUUAAGCACCCCGCCUGGGGAGUACGGCCGCAAGGCUAA